UAUAAGACGGGAUAACUUCGGGAAACCGGAGCUAAUGCCGGAUAACAUUUGGAACCGCAUGGUUCUAAAGUAAAAGAUGGUUUUGCUAUCACUUAUAGAUGGACCCGCGCCGUAUUAGCUAGUUGGUAAGGUAACGGCUUACCAAGGCAACGAUACGUAGCCGACCUGAGAGGGUGAUCGGCCACACUGGAACUGAGACACGGUCCAGACUCCUACGGGAGGCAGCAGUAGGGAAUCUUCCGCAAUAGACGAAAGUCUGACGGAGCAACGCCGCGUGAGUGAUGAAGGUUUUCGGAUCGUAAAACUCUGUUAUUAGGGAAGAACAAAUGUGUAAGUAACUGUGCACAUCUUGACGGUACCUAAUCAGAAAGCCACGGCUAACUACGUGCCAGCAGCCGCGGUAAUACGUAGGUGGCAAGCGUUAUCCGGAAUUAUUGGGCGUAAAGCGCGCGUAGGCGGUUUCUUAAGUCUGAUGUGAAAGCCCACGGCUCAACCGUGGAGGGUCAUUGGAAACUGGGAAACUUGAGUGCAGAAGAGGAAAGUGGAAUUCCAUGUGUAGCGGUGAAAUGCGCAGAGAUAUGGAGGAACACCAGUGGCGAAGGCGACUUUCUGGUCUGUAACUGACACUGAUGUGCGAAAGCGUGGGGAUCAAACAGGAUUAGAUACCCUGGUAGUCCACGCCGUAAACGAUGAGUGCUAAGUGUUAGGGGGUUUCCGCCCCUUAGUGCUGCAGCUAAC
RNAcentral lists this ribosomal RNA (738 nucleotides) under uncultured Staphylococcus sp. RNAcentral describes it as "bacterial SSU rRNA". It matches the Rfam family "Bacterial small subunit ribosomal RNA", at positions 131 to 856 of the family's 1533-position model. Lineage: Bacteria; Bacillati; Bacillota; Bacilli; Caryophanales; Staphylococcaceae. The record is from RNAcentral.